GAGCGAACGCUGGCGGCAGGCCUAACACAUGCAAGUCGAACGAACCUUUCGGGGUUCGUGGCGGACGGGUGAGUAACACGUGGGAACGUGCCUUUAGGUUCGGAAUAACUCAGGGAAACUUGUGCUAAUACCGAAUGUGCCCUUCGGGGGAAAGAUUUAUCGCCUUUAGAGCGGCCCGCGUCUGAUUAGCUAGUUGGUUGAGGUAAUGGCUCACCAAGGCGACGAUCAGUAGCUGGUCUGAGAGGAUGAUCAGCCACAUUGGGACUGAGACACGGCCCAAACUCCUACGGGAGGCAGCAGUGGGGAAUCUUGCGCAAUGGGCGAAAGCCUGACGCAGCCAUGCCGCGUGAAUGAUGAAGGUCUUAGGAUUGUAAAAUUCUUUCACCGGGGACGAUAAUGACGGUACCCGGAGAAGAAGCCCCGGCUAACUUCGUG
This 435-nucleotide ribosomal RNA is filed under the name uncultured bacterium. RNAcentral describes it as "partial 16S ribosomal RNA". It matches the Rfam family "Bacterial small subunit ribosomal RNA", at positions 27 to 507 of the family's 1533-position model. The record is from RNAcentral.